CUUCCUCUUAAAUCGCUCCUAACCUAAUUAUCCUUCUCGUAGCCGACCUCCUCUCUCGAGCAAGUUGUGCACCUCGCAUGGCGGUGAGGACACCUGGGCCACGGCAGCAAGGACGCUUGCGGCCGCUUCAAAGCGGCCAUUGAAUCCAUGUUUUUAAAUCCACCUGUGCUCCACCACCAUCCACGACCUCCUCCGGAACCACAGCCACAACCUCCCUAACGCGCUACUCCCCAAGUCUGUCAACUGCUUCUCCUACGACGACGCCUCCUGUCACCUCGAGGUCCGACUCUAUGGCCCCUACUAUGCGCACUAUGAAGACGAGCUCACCUACUUUGACAGAACCUCAACUACGGCACACUCCGCAAGGUGAUUGAGUGAGCGCAGGAGGAGUUGUUCCUUUAAUUCCCGGUCAAGGGGAUCAUGGUCAUCGAUCCCGGCUCUGGUGUGAUCCUCCUUCGCCUUCGACAUGCCGCCAGAAUGCCGCCCGGAAGUGGAAGAAGCGACCGCAGGAAUAGGUGAGUUGGCCAGAUUGAAAAUGAAGUGAUCUUGCUGGGUGACAUUUCCUUUCGUGUUGGAUUAGGGAUUGAUUUUGAUGCGAUUGUUGCUGCAUUUGUUGACUAUUGGAUGUUCGACAUCUACCAAUGUGCCAUUUUCUUGAUUAAUAUCCCGUUUCUUCUGCUUAGUUGAUUCUGGUUUUAGUCUGCAUUUCCUUUUGUAAGUUUUGGCUUUUGCUUCUCCAAAUCCGUUGAGUUCCACACACUAGAACCUUGCUUACAAGCAAUUGCUUAAUUAUUUUGCUUCAUUUCACUGUCAAUAGCAUGCCAACUUGCUUGCCAAAGGCUUGGAUACUAGUUCAACUUGUGUCCUCCAUUUCUGUCACAAGAUUUCUAGAUACUGUAUUAAAUUAGUUACUGAGACCAUUUUGCAAUUGCAAUCUCUUACUUAUGGUUAUAUUUCCUCUUGAGUUGUGUAGUCCUUGUCUUUAGUUGUGUUCCUUUCCUGUGUCGGAUGUGUGGCUUUGUUCUUUGCUACUUCAAGUACGAGUAAUUUUUCAUCAGUAUUCUAGUUAAACUCAUUGAAUGUGUCAGGUGUAUGUUUUCUUAUUGCAAAGGAUUUAUUUUCAACUUCCAAAUCUCUCUAAUCACCAAAAGAAGCGGUAUCAGAGAGUUCGUGGACAAUAAAUCGGUUUGAGUUAGUGAACAAGAAAGAGAAAAAUCAAAUGUUGAUGACUACUCUACUAAUUCUUCAUUCAAUCUUCAAUCAUGAUGUGAUGUGGCGGGCGACAAAUUUUCUACUGCGAUGUGAUGGGUGACUCAUGUAAGGGGAGGGUGUAUGAACUUGAACGCGAUCGAUAGUUUGGAAGAUCAAACAAUUAAAGUUUCAACAGAUUUGCUCUAAUAAGAAGAAUAAAGAAUCAUCACAAGAAAUUGAAGACAUGCAUGUUACUAGCAAGAGGGCGGAGGGAGAAAUUAUUAAAAGGAAAAGAAAAUUGGAAUCGUAAUGUGUGAUUGCUUUUAUCUCGAGACGAUGUGAAUGUUUAUUUAUCUUAAUGGUAAUCAUAUUGUACUUUUAGAUUUA
This is a long non-coding RNA of Zingiber officinale, 1578 nucleotides long. RefSeq lists it as uncharacterized. The record is from RefSeq and is a predicted model, not a curated record. The transcript has 4 exons. Lineage: Eukaryota; Viridiplantae; Streptophyta; Magnoliopsida; Zingiberales; Zingiberaceae.